This 747-nucleotide long non-coding RNA is filed under the name Felis catus (domestic cat). RNAcentral's name for it is "lncRNA (ENSFCAG00000041946.2)". The record is from RNAcentral. Lineage: Eukaryota; Metazoa; Chordata; Mammalia; Carnivora; Felidae.
GGCGGAGCCUGCGCGUUGAGAGGAGCCCGCCAGCGGCCACUGCGCAGGCGCUGGGCAGCUCGCCGGACUCCCGCAGCGCUUCUCCAAAAGUUCCAGUCCAGCGGGUGGACCACCGUGCAGCGCAGCUGCACACAACAGAGAAGGCAAAAGGAAACUCCCGGGGGGGCUCCGUUGGCUUCUAUGGGAGUGACAAAGAUGCUUUCCCUCUAGAAGCCCGGAAGCUUUCUCCUUUGCAAUCCAAUGAGGGUGAAGUGAACGCCGCUCUUCCUUGUGAAGCGCCCUGCCAGGAAGAGCCAGUUGUGUGUGGACCCGCGGUACCUGGCCGUCCCCUUCCAGGCUGGAUUCCGCAGAGGUUUGCCUUUUGUGGACAUUUCCUAAAAAUGGAAUCAUGUAAUAUGGAGUCUUUUGUGACUGGUCCCUUAUACUGAUACUGGAUAUUCAUGUUAUUUCCAGGCAUUCUGGCUUCAAGAUGGAUGAUGAACUUUCAAAAAAGAAAGUGAUGGAAAAUCAUCAAAAUUACCAUAAACUGUGCUGCCAACUAAAUAUAUUUUCCUUUAUAGCAUGUGCAGAGUCCAGGAAAAUUAUAUUCCUGCAUUAUAUAAUCCGCCAACAGCCUCCUUACCUACUGCCUUAAUCCGGGUUAUUCUUGAAUGCAGAGCCUGAGACAAAGGUAUACCCAUUCUAUUUGGGAAUGUGAUCCCAGGGAGCAAGAAUAAAAGAGGAGUGAACGGGGGUAAAGAGGAAAGA